RNAcentral lists this non-coding RNA (45 nucleotides) under Schistosoma margrebowiei. The record is from RNAcentral. Lineage: Eukaryota; Metazoa; Platyhelminthes; Trematoda; Strigeidida; Schistosomatidae.
GUCCGGCUGAAGAGUCUCAAGUAGGACGAAACACGCGUCCUGGAU